Molecule: transfer RNA, 85 nt
Filed under: Felis catus (domestic cat)
Lineage: Eukaryota; Metazoa; Chordata; Mammalia; Carnivora; Felidae
Rfam family: tRNA
About the family: Transfer RNA (tRNA) molecules are approximately 80 nucleotides in length. Their secondary structure includes four short double-helical elements and three loops (D, anti-codon, and T loops).
Source: Rfam by way of RNAcentral
ACCUGGGUGGCUCAGUCGGUUAAGUGUCUGACUUCAGCUCAGGUCAUGAUCUUGUAGUUUGUGGGUUCAAACCCCGCAUCAGGCU